CCUGUAUCCGCCCGAGAACUACGAGCACAAACGCUUAAAACUCUAAGGACUUGGCGGUGCCCCAAACCCACCUAGAGGAGCCUGUUCUAUAAUCGAUAAUCCACGAUCCACCCAACCACCCCUUGCCCAAACANGCCUACAUACCUGCCGUCUGCCAGCCCACCUUAAUGAAAGACUAAAAAGUGAGCUCAAUAACCCCCCGCUAACAAGACAGGUCAAGGUAUAGCCCAUGGGGUGGAAGAAAUGGGCUACAUUUUCUAGUAUAGAAUAAACGAAAAAGGACAUGAAACUAGUCCUUGGAAGGAGGAUUUAGCAGUAAAAUAGGACCAUACUUUUCUAAGCCUAUUUAAAGACGCCCG
RNAcentral lists this ribosomal RNA (359 nucleotides) under Lagopus leucura (white-tailed ptarmigan). RNAcentral's name for it is "partial 12S ribosomal RNA". It matches the Rfam family "Bacterial small subunit ribosomal RNA", at positions 862 to 1374 of the family's 1533-position model. Lineage: Eukaryota; Metazoa; Chordata; Aves; Galliformes; Phasianidae. The record is from RNAcentral.